Molecule: ribosomal RNA, 342 nt
Filed under: uncultured fungus
Lineage: Eukaryota; Fungi
Description: SSU rRNA
Rfam family: Eukaryotic small subunit ribosomal RNA
Source: RNAcentral
GGUUCAUUCAAAUUUCUGCCUAUCAACUUUCGACGGCUGGGUCUUGGCCAGCCGUGGUGACAACGGGUAACGGAGGGUUAGGGCUCGACCCCGGAGAAGGAGCCUGAGAAACGGCUACUACAUCCAAGGAAGGCAGCAGGCGCGCAAAUUACCCAAUCCCGACCGGGGAGGUAGUGACAAUAAAUACUGAUACAGGGCUCUUUUGGGUCUUGUAAUUGGAAUGAGUACAAUUUAAAUCCCUUAACGAGGAACAAUUGGAGGGCAAGUCUGGUGCCAGCAGCCGCGGUAAUUCCAGCUCCAAUAGCGUAUAUUAAAGUUGUGAGGUUAAAAAGCUCGUAGUUG